Ictalurus furcatus (blue catfish) is the source of this 1644-nucleotide RNA transcript. It is a transcript of the gene named heterogeneous nuclear ribonucleoprotein A1, with no coding region annotated. The record is from RefSeq and is a predicted model, not a curated record. Lineage: Eukaryota; Metazoa; Chordata; Actinopteri; Siluriformes; Ictaluridae. The transcript has 12 exons.
UCGCAGACUAAAGUAGGCGGUUCCUGUGUGUCUGAUUUAAAGUAUUUUCGCAGUCCGUUUUAUUUUUCUCCUCCCUGGUUUCGGCCGCGUGCGUAUUGCGCCGAGCAGUCAGAAUAAAACCGCAAAAUGCCAAAAGAGGAACACCCACGAGAACCGGAGCAGCUCCGGAAGUUGUUCAUUGGAGGCCUCAGCUUUGAGACAACAGACGACAGUCUGCGCUCUUAUUUUGAGCAAUGGGGAGCCUUAACUGACUGUGUGGUUAUGAGAGACCCGAACUCCAAGCGCUCCAGAGGCUUCGGUUUCGUCACAUACUCCUGUGUGGAAGAAGUCGAUGCUGCCAUGAAGGCCCGUCCUCACAAAGUCGACGGUCGUCUCGUAGAGCCCAAACGUGCCGUGUCUAGAGAGGAUUCCAACAAACCUUUUGCACACACCACAGUGAAAAAGAUCUUCGUGGGUGGUAUUAAGGAAGAUACGGAAGAGGGCCAUCUACGAGACUACUUCCAGGAAUUCGGAAAGAUCGAAGCGAUUGAAAUAAUGAUCGAUCAUAAGACUGGCAACAAAAGAGGCUUUGCGUUUGUUACGUUCGAUGACCAUGAUGCUGUGGAUCGUAUCGUUAUUCAAAAGUACCACACGAUAAACGGCCAUAAUUCGGAAGUGAGAAAGGCCCUCUCUAAACAAGAGAUGCAGAAUUCAUCAAUGAACAUGAGGGGACGUGGAGGUGGAAACUUUGGUGGUCGAUAUGGCAACAAUGACUUUGAAGGAGGCAGAGAUGGCUUCAGAGACGGAUUCAGAGGAGGCAGAGGUGGCAGUGGAGGAUAUGGAGGUGGAGAUGGCUACAACAAUGGAUUUGGAGGAGAUGGUGGCUAUGGUGGUGGCGGUCCUGGCUAUGGAGGCAGCCGUGGUGGAGGAUAUGGGGGCGGAGGACCAGGCUACGGUAACAACGGUGGCGGCGGAUACGGUGGUGGUGGAUAUGGCGGUGGUGGAUACGGUGGCGGUGGCAACAACUACGACAAUUAUAACAAUGGAGGUGGAAACUUUGGAGGUGGUAACUUCGGUGGAGGUGGUGGUGGUGGCAGCGGCGGCAACUACAAUGACUUUGGAAACUACAACAACCAGCAGUCAAAUUUUGGCCCCAUGAAAGGAAACUUUGGUGGAGGAGGUGGCAGGAAUAGUGGCCCAUAUGGUGGUGGAUAUGGGGGUAGCUCAGGAGGUGGUGGAGGCUAUGGUGGAGGCUCUGGUGGUAGACGAUAUUAAGUCCUUUAAAGGACUCGGUACUUAGGAGAGGAAACAGGAGAGCAAGUGGAAUGACAGGGCAGCGCCAGGUUUACUCCCUAGAUCUGCUCAGCCGUUCAGAAGAGAUGUACAGUAGUGCUGACACAAGAGGGACUUUUGUUUUUGUGAAUUUGAUGCAAAGCAUUUCUGAUCCUGAAAUGGAUGAUUUGCCUGUUUUCUUCAGGCACUGUGAAGGUAAAUAUGUCUUCCUCUUUUGUGAUGCUCGAUGUAAUUAAUUACAUUCUAAUGUUUUAUCUUUUCUGUUUCCUGUGUUUUAGGACCAAAGGGAUGAUGUGGGAAUGAACCUUUUUUACUGUGUAAUUAAAUGGUUUUUUUACUAUGUAAAUAAAGCUUUUAAAGUGGUGAAACACA